GAUAUCACUUCAUAAUCUCUAGUGACUUAAACUUAAGCUUUAAUAUCAUUUUGUCAUAUCAUAAUCACUUAUCUCAUAAUCCCCAAAUGAUCAUAACUUGAGCUUUGAUACCAUUCUGUCAUAUCCUAAUCACUUGUAUCAUAAUCUUUAAUGAUCAUAACCUAAGCUCUGAUACCAUUCUGUCACGCUCUGAACCCAACACCCA
Molecule: long non-coding RNA, 205 nt
Filed under: Elaeis guineensis (African oil palm)
Lineage: Eukaryota; Viridiplantae; Streptophyta; Magnoliopsida; Arecales; Arecaceae
Description: long non-coding RNA (EGUI_LNC023561)
Source: RNAcentral